GCUUACGGCCACACCGCCUGGUUCACGUCCGAUCUCGUUUGAUCUCUGAAGCUAAAAUAGGUUGGGCCUGGUUAGUACUUGCAUGGGAGACUGCCUGGGAAUACCAGGUGCUGUAAGCU
This 119-nucleotide ribosomal RNA is filed under the name Scophthalmus maximus (turbot). Lineage: Eukaryota; Metazoa; Chordata; Actinopteri; Pleuronectiformes; Scophthalmidae. The record is from RNAcentral.